This 359-nucleotide ribosomal RNA is filed under the name uncultured bacterium. RNAcentral's name for it is "bacterial SSU rRNA". It matches the Rfam family "Bacterial small subunit ribosomal RNA", at positions 29 to 416 of the family's 1533-position model. The record is from RNAcentral.
AACGAACGCUGGCGGCAGGCCUAACACAUGCAAGUCGAACGCUCUAGCAAUAGAGAGUGGCAGACGGGUGAGUAACGCGUGGGAACCUUCCUUAUGGUGCGGAAUAACUCGCCGAAAGGCGUGCUAAUACCGCAUAAGCCCGCAAGGGGAAAGAUUUAUCGCCAUAAGAUGGGCCCGCGUCGGAUUAGCUAGUUGGUGAGGUAACGGCUCACCAAGGCUGCGAUCCGAGCUGGUUUGAGAGAAUGACCAGCCACACUGGGACUGAGACACGGCCCAGACUCCUACGGGAGGCAGCAGUGAGGAAUAUUGCGCAAUGGGCGAAAGCCUGACGCAGCGACGCCGCGUGGGGGAUGAAGGUC